RNAcentral lists this RNase P RNA (256 nucleotides) under Streptococcus salivarius. RNAcentral's name for it is "partial RNase P RNA component class B". It matches the Rfam family "Bacterial RNase P class B", at positions 1 to 254 of the family's 365-position model. Rfam says of the family: Ribonuclease P (RNase P) is a ubiquitous endoribonuclease, found in archaea, bacteria and eukarya as well as chloroplasts and mitochondria. Its best characterised activity is the generation of mature 5'-ends of tRNAs by cleaving the 5'-leader elements of precursor-tRNAs. Cellular RNase Ps are ribonucleoproteins. The record is from RNAcentral. Lineage: Bacteria; Bacillati; Bacillota; Bacilli; Lactobacillales; Streptococcaceae.
AUUUUCGGAUAAUCGCAUGGUUGCUAGUCUUCCAUGAGGAAAGUCCAUGCUAGCACUGGCUGUGAUGCCAGUAGUGUUUGUGCUAGGUGAAUUAAUAAGCCUAGGGACUUGAUUUUCAAGUUACGGCGAGUGAACUGGCUAAGUCUUUGGAUAGGUUUUAGUAGCUCUGAAAGUGCCACAGUGACGGAGUUUUUAGGGAAACCUAAAAAGUGGAACGCGGUAAACCCCUCAAGCUAGCAACCCAAACUUUGGUAGG